This is a long non-coding RNA of Arachis stenosperma, 398 nucleotides long. RefSeq lists it as uncharacterized. The transcript is spliced from 3 exons. The record is from RefSeq and is a predicted model, not a curated record. Lineage: Eukaryota; Viridiplantae; Streptophyta; Magnoliopsida; Fabales; Fabaceae.
UGAAUGGAUACGUGUAUUUUACACAGGUGUAAAAUGGUAUGAAACUGCAACUCUUGUGAAAAUGGAUCCUCUCAGCUGAGAUUCUGAUUUUAACAUAACCCCUACUUUAUGCUACUGUUUUGGAGCUACAGCUCCUAACUCAAUACCAGAAACUCUCUCAGCAAACUUCAAGCUGCUACUUGCAAAGCAAGGCCUGUAGAAAUUAAGAAAUGAAGAACGAUGAUUUUACCAAGGGAAGAUUGCAGAAGUUGAGUAAGCUUGCUAUUUCUGUAUGGCACAUGAGCAUUCUUUUGAGCAAGAGCAAAGAUGACAUCUCCAAGAGCAGAUAGUGAUUUGUUGAUAUGCUGUGCUUCCUUAAGUCGAUCACCAGUCACUUCAGACCGAUCUACCCUCUCACU